CAGUAGCCGCGGUAAUACGUAGGGUGCAAGCGUUAAUCGGAAUUACUGGGCGUAAAGGGUGCGUAGGCGGUUAGUUAAGUCUGUCGUGAAAUCCCCGGGCUCAACCUGGGACCUGCAUCUGUGACUGUAUAGCUAGAGUACGGUAGAGGGGGAUGGAAUUCCGCGUGUAGCAGUGAAAUGCGUAGAUAUGCGGAGGAACACCGAUGGCGAAGGCAAUCCCCUGGACCUGUACUGACGCUCAUGCACGAAAGCGUGGGGAGCAAACAGGAUUAGAUACCCCAGUAGUCCCUGUCUCUUAUAA
Molecule: ribosomal RNA, 301 nt
Filed under: uncultured bacterium
Lineage: Bacteria
Description: partial 16S ribosomal RNA
Rfam family: Bacterial small subunit ribosomal RNA
Source: RNAcentral